GAGUGUCGAUGGACACACUC
RNAcentral lists this non-coding RNA (20 nucleotides) under Arabidopsis thaliana (thale cress). Lineage: Eukaryota; Viridiplantae; Streptophyta; Magnoliopsida; Brassicales; Brassicaceae. The record is from RNAcentral.